ACACUGACGUCGCGACGCAUAUCAAUAAGCGGAGGAAAAGAAACUAACAAGGAUUCCCCUUAGUAACGGCGAGUGAAGCGGGAAGAGCUCAAAUUUGAAAUCUUCAAGGGUUUACCUUUACGAAUUGUAGUUUAAAGAAGUGUUUUCUGCUGAGGUUUUGGUUAAAGUUCUUUGGAAUAGGACAUCAUAGAGGGUGAGAAUCCCGUAUUUGACCAUUAUUUUCAGCUUUGUGAUACACUUUCAAAGAGUCGGAUUGUUUGGGAAUGCAGUCCAAAAUGGGUGGUAAAUUUCAUCUAAAGCUAAAUAUUGGCGAGAGACCGAUAGCGAACAAGUACCGUGAGGGAAAGAUGAAAAGAACUUUGAAAAGAGAGUUAAACAGUACGUGAAAUUGUCAAAAGGGAAGCGUUUGACACCAGUGUUGUUUUCUCGAAAAUCAAUUAAAAAUGGCUCGAUUUUGUAUUGUUGAGACCUUAAAAGCUCACUGUACAUUUUUCGUGUCUUUUUUAAUGCACUUUUCGUUUAACAAGUCAACAUCAGUUUCUUUUGUUGUAAAAGGGUCAUUGGAAGGUGGCUUUCUUUUCGGAGAAAGUGUUUAUAGCCUUUGGCCUCUGCAAUCGGAGAGGACUGAGGUCUGCAGCGUAGACUCUUCGGGGUUAGAUACAUUUGUGCUAAGUUAUAGCUUUUUAUAGACAACUUGUUGACUAUAAUUAGUCUUGUAGCUUACUCGCUUAUGCUAUUUUACCUACGCUUAGGAUGUUGACGCAUGAGAUAUACGC
Molecule: ribosomal RNA, 776 nt
Filed under: uncultured Neocallimastigales
Lineage: Eukaryota; Fungi; Neocallimastigomycota; Neocallimastigomycetes; Neocallimastigales
Description: partial large subunit ribosomal RNA
Rfam family: Eukaryotic large subunit ribosomal RNA
Source: RNAcentral